UACAGAGGUCUCAAGCGUUGUUCGGAAUCACUGGGCGUAAAGGGUGCGUAGGCGGCGGGGUAAGUCAGGUGUGAAAUCUCAAGGCUCAACCUUGAAAUUGCACUUGAUACUGCGGUGCUUGAGGACUGGAGAGGAGACUGGAAUUCACGGUGUAGCAGUGAAAUGCGUAGAUAUCGUGAGGAAGACCAGUGGCGAAGGCGGGUCUCUGGACAGUUCCUGACACUGAGGCACGAAGGCCAGGGGAGCAAACGGG
This 253-nucleotide ribosomal RNA is filed under the name uncultured bacterium. Its description in RNAcentral is "partial 16S ribosomal RNA". It matches the Rfam family "Bacterial small subunit ribosomal RNA", at positions 524 to 776 of the family's 1533-position model. The record is from RNAcentral.